CCUACGGGAGACAGCAGUGAGGAAUAUUGGUCAAUGGUCGGGAGACUGAACCAGCCAAGCCGCGUGAGGGAUGAAGGUACAGAGUAUCGUAAACCUCUUUUGUCAGGGAACAAAGGCGGGGACGUGUCCCCGGAUGAGUGUACCUGAAGAAAAAGCAUCGGCUAACUCCGUGCCAGAAGCCGCGGUAAUACGGAGGAUGCGAGCGUGAUCCGGAUGUAUUGGGUGAAAAGGGUGCGCAGGCGGUCUGUAAAGUCAGCGGUCAAAGCCCGGGGCUCAACCCGGGCCCGCCGUUGAAACUGGCAGGCUCGAGUGGGAGAGAAGUAAGCGGAAUGCGCGGUGUAGCGGUGAAAUGCAUAGAUAUCGCGCAGAACUCCGGUUGCGAAGGCAGCAUGCCGGAUCGAAACUGACGCUGAGGCACGAAAGCGUGGGUAGCGAACAGGAUUAGAUACCCCAGUAGUC
This 459-nucleotide ribosomal RNA is filed under the name uncultured bacterium. RNAcentral's name for it is "partial 16S ribosomal RNA". It matches the Rfam family "Bacterial small subunit ribosomal RNA", at positions 338 to 795 of the family's 1533-position model. The record is from RNAcentral.